This 660-nucleotide ribosomal RNA is filed under the name uncultured bacterium. RNAcentral describes it as "bacterial SSU rRNA". It matches the Rfam family "Bacterial small subunit ribosomal RNA", at positions 144 to 803 of the family's 1533-position model. The record is from RNAcentral.
UAGCCCAUGGAAACGUGGAUUAACACCCCAUAAUAUUAUUGUAAGGCAUCUUAUAAUAAUUAAAUCGUUCGAGGUAUCAGAUGGGCAUGCGUCCUAUUAGCUAGUUGGGGGGGUAACGGCCCACCAAGGCAAUGAUAGGUAGGGGUUCUGAGAGGAAGGUCCCCCACAUUGGAACUGAGACACGGUCCAAACUCCUACGGGAGGCAGCAGUGAGGAAUAUUGGUCAAUGGGCGCAGGCCUGAACCAGCCAAGUCGCGUGAGGGAAGACUGCCCUAUGGGUUGUAAACCUCUUUUAUAAGGGAAGAAUAAUGACUACGUGUAGUCAGAUGCCCGUACCUUAUGAAUAAGCAUCGGCUAACUCCGUGCCAGCAGCCGCGGUAAUACGGAGGAUGCGAGCGUUAUCCGGAUUUAUUGGGUUUAAAGGGUGCGUAGGCGGUAUUUUAAGUUAGUGGUAAAACGUCGGGGCUUCACCUUGAUUGGCCAUUAAAACUGGAGUACUAGAGUACAGACGAGGUAGGCGGAAUAAGUUAAGUAGCGGUGAAAUGCUUAGAUAUAACUUAGAACCCCGAUAGCGAAGGCAGCUUACCAGACUGUUACUGACGCUGAAGCACGAGAGCGUGGGUAGCGAACAGGAUUAGAUACCCUGGUAGUCCACGCCGU